GACCUGGGAGUGGGAAAGGAAACAGCUGAGACCUCUGCCAGAGAUCCAGCAUCCUCUGCAGGAUUGCCAGCAGCAACCAGUGUGACCAGGAAUGAAACAUCUGGGAUAAAAUCUCUCCUUUCUCUUGGUUGUGUAAAAUCCAUCCUGUGCAACAUGACAUUGGUGUUACAGGAAGAUGGUUCCUGGCAGAGCUGACAGAUUCCUUUCUGUUCCACACUCUCUGCCUUAUCUCAACCCAAUUUUACUAAAUCAGAACCAUUUCUGAGGAAACCUCCCCAGUCAGGCAAGCAAUAGGUGAGGCAAAUGAGGAAUGAAAAGGAAAAAUAAGGAAAA
Long non-coding RNA from Pseudopipra pipra, 333 nucleotides. RefSeq lists it as uncharacterized. NCBI's taxonomy places the organism in Eukaryota, Metazoa, Chordata, Aves, Passeriformes, Pipridae. The transcript is spliced from 2 exons. The record is from RefSeq and is a predicted model, not a curated record.